RNAcentral lists this ribosomal RNA (497 nucleotides) under uncultured bacterium. RNAcentral describes it as "partial 16S ribosomal RNA". It matches the Rfam family "Bacterial small subunit ribosomal RNA", at positions 28 to 507 of the family's 1533-position model. The record is from RNAcentral.
GACGAACGCUGGCGGCGUGCCUAAUACAUGCAAGUAGAACGAUGAGGAGAGGAGCUUGCUCUUCUUGGAUGAGUUGCGAACGGGUGAGUAACGCGUGGGUAACCUGCCUUGUAGAGGGGGAUAACUACUGGAAACGAUAGCUAAUACCGCAUAACAUAUGAAGCCACAUGGUAUUUUAUUGAAAGGGGCAAUUGCUCCACUACAAGCUGGACCUGCGUUGUAUUAGCUAGUAGGUGAGGUAAUGGCCCAACUAGGCGACGAAACCGAGCCGACCUGGGAGGGGUGACGGCCACACUGGGACUUGGACCCGGCCCAGGCCUCCUCGGGAGGCAGCAGUAGGGGAUUCUCGGCAAUGGGGGCAAAGCUGACCGGGCAACGCCGCCGGGGUGAAGAAGGUUUUCGGGUCGGAAAGCUCUGGUUAUAGGCAAGAACGGGAGGUGGAAGGAAAAGUUCACGCUGUGACGGUAGCUUACCAGAAAGCGACGGCUAACUACGUG